This 158-nucleotide non-coding RNA is filed under the name human gut metagenome. Its description in RNAcentral is "Lysine riboswitch". It matches the Rfam family "Lysine riboswitch aptamer". Rfam says of the family: Riboswitches are metabolite binding domains within certain messenger RNAs that serve as precision sensors for their corresponding targets. Allosteric rearrangement of mRNA structure is mediated by ligand binding, and this results in modulation of gene expression. The record is from RNAcentral.
AAAGGUAGAGGCGCACCCUAUAAGAGUACCGCACAUCACCGGCAGCCAAUGCCGUGCGGGAAAGGCGUGGGUGCCGAAGCGGAUGCCGUGGCGGGUAUUCCGGCUGGCAAUUCGGAUAAGAUCCGUCUUGUUGUCGCAGAAAUGCGGAGAGCUAUCCG